CCAGACUCCUACGGGAGGCAGCAGUGGGGAAUAUUGCACAAUGGGGGAAACCCUGAUGCAGCGACGCCGCGUGAGCGAUGAAGUAUUUCGGUAUGUAAAGCUCUAUCAGCAGGGAAGAAAAUGACGGUACCUGACUAAGAAGCCCCGGCUAACUACGUGCCAGCAGCCGCGGUAAUACGUAGGGGGCAAGCGUUAUCCGGAUUUACUGGGUGUAAAGGGCGUGUAGCCGGGCCGGCAAGUCAGAUGUGAAAUCCCAAGGCUCAACCUUGGAACUGCAUUUGAAACUGUUGGUCUUGAGUAUCGGAGAGGCAGGCGGAAUUCCUAGUGUAGCGGUGAAAUGCGUAGAUAUUAGGAGGAACACCAGUGGCGAAGGCGGCCUACUGGACGGUGACUGACGCUGAGGCUCGAAAGCGUGGGGAGCAAACAGGAUUAGAUACCCGGGUAGA
This 446-nucleotide ribosomal RNA is filed under the name uncultured bacterium. RNAcentral describes it as "partial 16S ribosomal RNA". It matches the Rfam family "Bacterial small subunit ribosomal RNA", at positions 331 to 794 of the family's 1533-position model. The record is from RNAcentral.